Molecule: ribosomal RNA, 253 nt
Filed under: uncultured bacterium
Lineage: Bacteria
Description: partial 16S ribosomal RNA
Rfam family: Bacterial small subunit ribosomal RNA
Source: RNAcentral
UACGUAGGGUGCAAGCGUUGUCCGGAAUUAUUGGGCGUAAAGAACUCGUAGGUGGCCUGUCGCGUCGGCUGUGAAAACUCGGGGCUCAACUCCGAGCUUGCAGUCGAUACGGGCAGGCUAGAGUUCGGCAGGGGAGACUGGAAUUCCUGGUGUAGCGGUGAAAUGCGCAGAUAUCAGGAGGAACACCGGUGGCGAAGGCGGGUCUCUGGGCCGAUACUGACACUGAGGAGCGAAAGCGUGGGGAGCGAACAGG